This 1512-nucleotide ribosomal RNA is filed under the name uncultured bacterium. RNAcentral describes it as "16S ribosomal RNA". It matches the Rfam family "Bacterial small subunit ribosomal RNA". The record is from RNAcentral.
AGAGUUUGAUCCUGGCUCAGGACAAACGCUGGCGGCGUGCCUAAUACAUGCAAGUCGAACGGUUCCACUUCGGUGGGAUAGUGGCGGACGGGUGAGUAACACGUAGAUGACCUGCCCUUUUGUGGGGAAUAACAUCUCGAAAGAGAUGCUAAUACCGCAUGAGCUCUUCUGUGUUGGCAGAAGAGGAAACCUUCUUCUUUCAUAGGAGGAGGGGCAAAAGGAGGGGUCUGCGGCGGAUUAGCUAGUUGGUGGGGUAAAGGCUCACCAAGGCUCUGAUCCGUAGCUGGUCUGAGAGGACGGCCAGCCACACUGGGACUGAGACACGGCCCAGACUCCUACGGGAGGCAGCAGUAAGGAAUAUUCCACAAUGGGCGCAAGCCUGAUGGAGCGACGCCGCGUGGAGGAAGACGCCUUUCGAGGUGUAAACUCCUUUUCUGUGGGAUGACAUCUGGGGAGAGUAACAUCUUCCCAGUACGACAGUACCACAGGAAUAAGCCUCGGCUAACUACGUGCCAGCAGCCGCGGUAAUACGUAGGAGGCGAGCGUUGUCCGGAUUUACUGGGCGUAAAGCGCGCGCAGGCGGCAGCCUAAGUACGGAGUGAAAUCUCCCUGCUCAACGGGGAGGGUGCUCUGUAGACUGGGCAGCUAGAGGACGGUAGAGGGGGGUGGAAUUGCUGGUGUAGCGGUGAAAUGCGUAGAGAUCAGCAGGAACACCCGUGGCGAAGGCGGCCCCCUGGGCCGAACCUGACGCUGAGGCGCGAAGGCUAGGGGAGCGAACGGGAUUAGAUACCCCGGUAGUCCUAGCAGUAAACGAUGGCCACUAGGUGUGGGGGGUGUUGACCCCUUCCGUGCCGAAGCCAACGCAUUAAGUGGCCCGCCUGGGGAGUACGGUCGCAAGACUAAAACUCAAAGGAAUUGACGGGGACCCGCACAAGCAGCGGAGCGUGUGGUUUAAUUCGAUGCAACGCGAAGAACCUUACCAGGGCUUGACAUUCUCUUGCAACCUUGCGAAAGCAGGGCCUCCCGCGAGGGACAGGAGAACAGAUGCUGCAUGGCUGUCGUCAGCUCGUGUCGUGAGAUGUUGGGUUAAGUCCCGCAACGAGCGCAACCCUCGUCUUUAGUUGACUAUCUAAAGAGACUGCCGGAAACAAACCGGAGGAAGGUGGGGAUGACGUCAAGUCAGCAUGGCUCUUACGUCCUGGGCUACACACACGCUACAAUGGCCGCUACAGCGAGAAGCCACCCUGCGAGGGGGAGCAGAUCUCUCAAAGGCGGCCCCAGUUCAGAUUGCACUCUGCAACCCGAGUGCAUGAAGUCGGAGUUGCUAGUAACCGCGUGUCAGCAUAGCGCGGUGAAUAUGUUCCCGGGUCUUGUACACACCGCCCGUCACGUCAUGGGAGCCGGCAAUACCUGAAGUCCGUGCGCUAACUCCUUGGCAUCUUUGCAUGUCCAAGGAGAGGCAGCGGCCGAGGGUAGGGCUGGUGACUGGGACGAAGUCGUAACAAGGUAGCC